ACGCUCGACACCUACGGAGGCAGCAGUGGGGAAUAUUGCACAAUGGAGGAAACUCUGAUGCAGCGAUGCCGCGUGAGGGAAGAAGGUUUUCGGAUUGUAAACCUCUGUCUUUGGGGACGAUAAUGACGGUACCCAAGGAGGAAGCUCCGGCUAACUACGUGCCAGUAGCCGCGGUAAUCUGAGCGGGCUGGCAAGGC
RNAcentral lists this ribosomal RNA (197 nucleotides) under uncultured bacterium. RNAcentral describes it as "partial 16S ribosomal RNA". It matches the Rfam family "Bacterial small subunit ribosomal RNA", at positions 328 to 539 of the family's 1533-position model. The record is from RNAcentral.